UACAGAGGGGGCAAGCGUUGUUCGGAAUUACUGGGCGUAAAGGGCGCGUAGGCGGCCUUCUAAGUCGAACGUGAAAUCCCCGGGCUCAACCCGGGAACUGCGUCCGAUACUGGAAGGCUUGAAUCCGGGAGAGGGAUGUGGAAUUCCAGGUGUAGCAGUGAAAUGCGUAGAGAUCGGGAGGAACAUCGGUGGCGAAGGCGGCCUUCUGGACGAUGACUGACGCUGAGACGCGAAAGCGUGGGGAGCAAACAGG
This 253-nucleotide ribosomal RNA is filed under the name uncultured bacterium. RNAcentral's name for it is "partial 16S ribosomal RNA". It matches the Rfam family "Bacterial small subunit ribosomal RNA", at positions 524 to 776 of the family's 1533-position model. The record is from RNAcentral.